Molecule: long non-coding RNA, 5850 nt
Filed under: Sus scrofa (pig)
Lineage: Eukaryota; Metazoa; Chordata; Mammalia; Artiodactyla; Suidae
Description: lncRNA (ENSSSCG00025046824.1)
Source: RNAcentral
UGCUAACAAAAAAACAAGUGUGAAUAAAGAGGAAGGAAGGCGUGAUAGAGUUAUCAUAAUCAUUCAUCUAGAAAUGAUGGAUCUGAUUGUUUUCUUUUUGUAAUUCUACAUGUUCAAAUGGUCACCCAGCCUAGAAGAAAGGGAUUUUACACAUUAUGUACAGUACUGGGUCUUAGAAUAAAAGUGGUGAUUCCCUUUAGUGAUUGUCUAAUCUUCUCUGGGUAAAUUAUGACAGAUCAGUAGAUAGCUGCAGGAAGAGAGUUACACGGGGCAUGUUUCCUAGACAGGCAAUUAUGCGGGGACCUCAUCAGGCUCCUAUGCUUCAACUUCCUUUCCUUCCUAUUCCUACCCCUUGACUCUGCUUCUGGCCCUCAGCAGUUCCUGCCUAAACAUCUGCAUAUCCUCUCUUUGGUGUCUAUUUUCUCAACCAAUAUUUGAACAGCAAAGCCAUAUUUUUAGUGAAAAAUCUCCACUGAGACCUCAUAAAUAACAUAAAAAUAUUUUAUAAAUACAAUAUGAUAAAAGUUUCAAAUUUAUAACUUACACAUUAUCAUAUCAAUCAAUGAGAACAGUUAUUGCUGCAGUUACAACCCCAACAUCUAUUUCUAUGUUUUGCCUUAGUUACACUGUAUCAAGAAAAUUCUGAAUCACACAGACAUAUUAUUCAACUAAAUAGAUUCAAAGCUUAAAAGAACAUUUGAAAGUAAAGUUUGUUUCUAAGUCGUAUUACAAGGCUUAUAAAUUCAUAUUUCUCUAGUCUAAGUACCCAAUUUGAAGAGAGUAGACAAAUUCUUUGGUGGGGCAAGAUAUUUGCUAUUAGGCAAGAAAUAAAGUUUAAAUAUAUUUGUAAUACCAUGAAAUGGUCAAGGUAUAUUUUUAAACUUUCAGAUACUUUAGUAUUUAUCUGUCAUAUAUCUGUUCAAUGUCUUGAAACAGUCAUUUUUAUUUUGUUUUAAUGUUAGUUUCAGGUGUUUCAAUUUUUUUUCUGACACUACUGGCAGCUGUAAGAAAAGCUUUGCCAAAUUAAAUCAGCUCAGCUCUUUAAAGGUAUUGGUAGGAUAUGCAAGAUGAUGCAACCUUGUUUAAGGAGUAGUUACCCAAAGGAUUUACUUCAUUAGAAGAUAUGCAAAAAAAGAUACUGUUCUCAUUUGAAAUACUUCAGUACCUUGCCACAAAGCAUUUAUCAAAUUAGCAUGAAAAGGGAAAUUCCUGGAAUUUAUUGACAAUUUUGUUAUAGAAAACUGAAAGAUCUUCAAUUUAAGAUUAUGCCUAAUAAAUCAAGAAUUUAUAUGGAAUUAUCCAAUACAGUUUCAAAAGGCAUAAGCAUUGUUAUAUCUUUUGAAAGACAUAAGCACAUAUAUAUAUAUGUGUAUAUACAUAAUGUUAAACUGUCCAGUAAAUGAUAAAAAGAAGUUAAGAGCCCUAAUUUUAUGCUCUGAAUAUUUUCUCUCAAAAUUACAUUGUAACUGCAGGAAAUAUAAUAAUAUUUACUGAUUUAACAACAUAAAAUAUAUCACGGAUUUAGGCAAUUUUUAUUACAUAGAAGGUGAAUCCCAAUGAAUUACUAGCAUUUACUUUCUUGUCAUCCAGGAAUUUUCUGUGAGAAUUGUUGACACAUUUUUUAAGGAAUCAGCAUACUAUUGUGGUUAAGAGAAGGUACUUUAGGAAGUCAAAGCCAUUCCAUGCCUGGCUCACUAGCUGUGUGGCCUUAGGUGGUUGUUUAAUCUUUUUUGUGCCUCAGUUUCUUCUUCUACAAAGUAAAGAAAAUGACAGUACCCCCCUAUAGGAUUGUUGUAAGAAUGAUUUGAAUUUAAUCAUAUACAGGCACACCUUUGACAUUUAUAGGACCUGGAACAAGAAUAUAAAGGAAGGCCCAAACAUUGUAUUUCUAAAUAUUUUAAAGUUAUUGAAAAUGAUAAUGAGUUUUUAAAUAAAAUACUUUCUAUUUCUUACCUUGCCAAAUACACUUUUAUAAGGAUCUGGAUAGCCAGUCUGAACUUAGGAUUCUGGACUCCUCAGAGUUCUGCUCUGGCACACAGUGGCAUGAGAACAACACGUUCUGCAGUCCAACCUCCUCCUCCACCCAUCACUUCCUCCUUCCACACCCAAGGGGCUUUUCAUGGGUGUGUAUGGUCACCUGACUGCACGUCAAAGCUCUGCAGUCACCCAAUAGUCACCCCUGGGCCAUCCCUCAGUCCUAUGGGUAUACACAUCAACAGUAUAGAACUGCUUCAAAUGGAUGGAUCCAGGUAAGGUCCCCAAACAGAUCACAGAAGUGUGCUUGAGGGCAGGCAAUUCUGGGAACCUGAAUACCUAAAGGACAGUCUGAAAGAGAUUGCGGGCAUCAGCUGGGUUUAACUCUUUGAUUCCAAGGACUUGUUUGCUCCAUGGAGAGGGAUACAACAAUAGGACCCUCUAAAGCAUGGGAACCACAAAAGACGCCCCUCUUGGCUAAAUCUAAGGGCAGUGUGAACUGUAAUUCACAUUACAACCUAAGGCUUUUUUUUUUUUUUUUUUUUUUUUUUAAAUGCUCUCACUAGUCUGUUUUCAAAGUAUUUAACAUUAGUUGUAAAGUUAGCUUAUGCUACACUUUAUCAUAUUUUAUUCAGCCUAAUCAUUCUCAUCACAUCCAUCAUCAAAUUGUAUUAAAAUUUUUUUAUUGUAGUUAACAUACAGUGUGUGUCAGUUUCUGGUGUACAGCAAAGUGAUUCAGAUAUAUAUAUGUAUAUAUACAUGUAUGUAUAUAUACAUGCACAUAAGCACACACACACGUAUAUAACAGUUUGCAUCUUCUAAUCCCAAACUCCCAAUCCAUCCCUCAUCCAGCCCUUACAUCGGAAAACACAAGUCAGUUCUCUACAUCUGUCAGUUUGUUUCUGUUCUAUAAAUAGGUUCAAUUGUGUCAUAUUUUAGAUUCCACAUUUAAGUGAAAUCAUAUGGUAUUUGCCUUUCUCUGUCUGAAUUACUUCAUUUAGCAUGACCAUCCAUGUUGCUGCAAGUGGCAUUAUUUCAUUUCUCUUUAUGGCUGAGUAGUAUUCCAUUAUACAUGCACACAACAUCUUUUGUAUUCAUUCAUCUGUCCACAAGCAUUUACGUUGUUUCCAUGUCUUGGCUACUGUAAAUAGUGCUGCUAUAAACACAGGAGUGCACCUAUCUUUUUGAGUUAUAGUUUUAUCUACAUAUAUGCCCAGGAAUGGGAUUGCUGGAUCAUAUGGCAAUUCUAUUUUCAGUUUUUUGAGGAACCUCCAUACUAUUUUCAUAGUGGCUGUACCAAUUCUUAUUCCAACCAACCAUGUAGGAAAGUCCCCUUUUCUCCAUACCCUCUCCAGCAUCAAAUGGUAUUUUUAAUUUUCUGUUUAUAACCAAAAAUAUACUUUUGGUUUCAAAUGUUAUUAUUUUACCUCUCCUAUAAGAAAAAAUUUUUGAUAAAAGUUAGACCAAAAAAAAAAAAAAAAAAGAAACAACGGAAAAUGUCCAGUAACAUUGUCAAAUAUAAAAUAGUCAAAUACAAGAAAAAGAGCAUCUAAACUUAACCUAAAUACAAAAGUAAUUACAGUAUUAUAUUAUCUCCACUCCAGGCAUUAUGUAUUACUUACUACAAUGCAAUUAUACAUAAAGAUUCUGAGGGCAGGCACCCAGCUGCUGUGCCUGCACCUCUAAGGUGUGCUAUUGCAAGGCUUAGGUCUAAAAAUAACAGUCUGACUAGAAUAUUCUCACAGGGCUGGGUGGGUCAAACACAUGAAUAAAUAUUCACAACAAUAAAGACUGAGCAUAAAAUCAAAAUUCAUGUAGAGGGAGAAACUGCUGAACAAAUGUAUUUUUUAAGGCACUGUAAAUGCUCAAAAGUAGUCAGAGAAGCUUUAUUCUCAGCUCAACACACAAGAAGUAACGUAAUCCAACAGCACCUUUUAAUACCAUGAAGUCUCCAAUACAAAAAUGCAUAUAAUAGGAAAUUUUGAGUAAGAAAAAUAUUUGCCAUUUUUACUAUUAGGGUGGUAGCAGACAGACCCAGGAGCACUGGCUGUGUCCAAUGAAGCACACAUGUGCUCACAUCUUUCUUUGAGACUCAUCAAGGUGCUUAGACACUGUCUCAGGAAGGCAGUGGCUUAGUGUGAGCAACACAAGCCUCCCCAAAAGCCAGGCAGGGUUCUGAUAGGUCCAGUAGUCUCUGUGAUGAGCCAGUUUGGUGCUUCCCCACUCAAUGAUGGCUGAUUUCAGGGAACCCACAGUCGACCCCACAUACUGAGAAUCCAUGACAGAGAUAUGAAUACCAACCUGGUUUUAUUACAGCAAGAUGCUUUGAACAUUUCCACUUUUAACCUUGUUUCUGGCUUGGAGUUGAUUAAGAUGGUGGGAUAGAAGUACUGGAACUCAACUUCUCUCCUAAAAACAACAAAAUUCACAACUAAAGACUGAGCAAUCUCCACCCAAAUGGACCGGAAACCAAAAAAGAUAUCCUACUCCAGAAGACAAAGAGGAGGCCACAGCAAGAGGUAGGAGGGGCGAUUUCACGAUAUAAACAACCCCAUACCUCCCCGAUGGGAAGCUCCACAGACUGAAAACUAACUGGUUCUGAGCCCCACAUCAAAGCAUCACGUGCAGGGAUCCAGCACUGGGAGAAAGAGCCCCUGGAGCAUCUGGCAUUGAAGGCCAGUGGGGCUUGUGCACAGGAGCUCCACAGGACUGGGGGAAAUGGAGACCCCAUCCCAGUGCACACGGAUGUUCACGUGCACUGGGUCCCAGGGCACAGAGAGAUCUCCAUAGGAAUCUGGGUCAAACCUGACUGCAGUUCUUGGAGGACAUCCUGGGAAAGCAGGGGUGGACGUGGCUUGUUGUGAGGGAAGGACAUUGAAGGCAAAGCUCUCGGGAAUAUUCAGCAGCAUGCCUUCCUCUGGAGGGGACCAUUUUGGAAAAAUCUGGCCCCACCCAUCAGUCAGUGCUGAGAAGCCCCAGGGCAAACAACAACCCAGGUGGGAUCACAGCCCCACCCAUAAGUAAACAGGCUACCUAAAGACCCCUCAGGCACACAGCUGCCUCUAAUCCCAUCCAGAGACUAAGCCCCACCCACCAGAGGGAUAGGAAUCAGCUCCACCUACCAGUGGGCAGGCAUCAGAAUCCCUCCCAUCAGGAAGCCUACAGCAAGGCCCCGUACAAUCUUUAGCCACAAGGGGGGCAGACGCCAGAAGUAACAGAGGCUACAACUCUAAUAUCUGUCAAAAGGUCACCACACCAAAAACCUAUAAAAAUGAACAGACAGAGAACUAUAACUCAGAUGAGGGAAAAAGAAAAAACCCUGAAAAACAGCUAAGUGAUCAGGAGAUUCUCAGCCUCCAGGAAAAAGACUUUGGACUGUUGAUGCUGAAGAUGAUGCAAGACAUUGGAAAUAAACUGAAGGCAAAGAUGGAUGAUAUACAGGAAACACUGACCAAAGAGAUACAAGAUAUCAAACUUAAGAAGAGAUGCAAAAUACAAUAACUGAAAUAAAAAAUUCAUUAGAAGCAACCAACAGUGGCAAACAGGAGGCAGAGAACGAAUAAGCGAGAUGGAGAACAGAUUAGUGGAAAUCACAGAUGUGGAACAGAAAAGAGAAAAAAGAUUGAAAACAAAUGAAGAGAGUCUCAGAGAACUCUGAGACAACAUUAAACACACCAACAUCCAUAUUAUAGGGGUACCAGAAGGAGAAGAGAGAGAGAAGGAGACAGAAAAAAUAUUCCAAGUGAUAAUAGCCAAAAAUUCCCCUAACAUGGGAAAGGAACCACUCACUCAAAUCCGGCAAGCACAAUGAGUACCAUAUAAAAUAAACCCAAGGAGGAAUACACCAAGACACAUAUUAAUCAAACUAACCAAAAU